AAUUCUCAAAACCCCUUUCUUUGGUCUUUGACCGGUGAAGGGAUUUUGGACUUGGAGGCUUUUUGCUGGCUUCAUCUUGAAGUGAGCUCCUCUUAAAUAAAUCAGUGGGGUUCGCUUUGCCGAUCCUUGACGUGAUAAGAUGUUUCUACGUCUUGGGUUCAGCAGAGUCACCUGCUUCUAACUGUCUUAUUGACAAAUGAUGGUGUUCCGGUCACCGCCGUUUCGUCGGCGGGAGGCUUGACCCACGAACGAA
RNAcentral lists this unclassified non-coding RNA (253 nucleotides) under uncultured Russula. Its description in RNAcentral is "sequence contains ITS2". Lineage: Eukaryota; Fungi; Basidiomycota; Agaricomycetes; Russulales; Russulaceae. The record is from RNAcentral.